This 467-nucleotide ribosomal RNA is filed under the name Streptococcus gordonii. Its description in RNAcentral is "bacterial SSU rRNA". It matches the Rfam family "Bacterial small subunit ribosomal RNA", at positions 28 to 471 of the family's 1533-position model. Lineage: Bacteria; Bacillati; Bacillota; Bacilli; Lactobacillales; Streptococcaceae. The record is from RNAcentral.
GACGAACGCUGGCGGCGUGCCUAAUACAUGCAAGUAGAACGCACAGUUUAUACCGUAGCUUGCUACACCAUAAACUGUGAGUUGCGAACGGGUGAGUAACGCGUAGGUAACCUGCCUGGUAGCGGGGGAUAACUAUUGGAAACGAUAGCUAAUACCGCAUAAUAUUGAUUAUUGCAUGAUAAUUGAUUGAAAGAUGCUAUUGCAUCACUACCAGAUGGACCUGCGUUGUAUUAGCUAGUAGGUGAGGUAACGGCUCACCUAGGCGACGAUACAUAGCCGACCUGAGAGGGUGAUCGGCCACACUGGGACUGAGACACGGCCCAGACUCCUACGGGAGGCAGCAGUAGGGAAUCUUCGGCAAUGGACGAAAGUCUGACCGAGCAACGCCGCGUGAGUGAAGAAGGUUUUCGGAUCGUAAAGCUCUGUUGUAAGAGAAGAACGGGUGUGAGAGUGGAAAGUUCACACUG